Cavia porcellus (domestic guinea pig) is the source of this 101-nucleotide small nucleolar RNA. It matches the Rfam family "Small nucleolar RNA U13". The record is from Rfam. NCBI's taxonomy places the organism in Eukaryota, Metazoa, Chordata, Mammalia, Rodentia, Caviidae.
AUUCUUUUGUGCACAAGAAGUAUAACUGGGUUUCCACACUGCUGUCUGAGAUAUGCCUCCUUCAAAUCUUGUUACAACAUUGCCACAUUACCCAUCUGACU